Long non-coding RNA from Cornus florida, 1152 nucleotides. RefSeq lists it as uncharacterized. The record is from RefSeq and is a predicted model, not a curated record. The transcript is spliced from 4 exons. Lineage: Eukaryota; Viridiplantae; Streptophyta; Magnoliopsida; Cornales; Cornaceae.
AAAGCUGAGACAUUAUUGCAUGCGUCACAGAUUCCCACGCUUAUUUGUAUUACAGCACUAUUUUAUCAAUUAAUUAGGGCAAAUCAUUUCAGCCUCCCCAAUUGCCUAUUUUUAGGGCAAAGCAUUUCAGCCUCCCUAAUCACCUCCAUCUCUAUUCUCGUUCUCAACUCUCUCUCUCUCUCUGCAACUGCAAACCACAAGAUCUACAUGAAUCAAAAGUUCAAAACCCAUAUAUUUCAGUUGAUCUAUCCGCAAGAUUCAAAAGUUCAAAACCUAUUACCUAUAUCAAAACAUAUAUAGGCGUAUCAUUUCAGGUUGUUCAAAAAGUCAAAACCCUUAUCUUUCAGUUUCCAACGCCCGCUAUUCCAGUUCAGGUUCGACGUUCGCAAGCUUCAGCCGCUGUCUCUCAACCAAUCAAGGGUUAGCAUCGGGCCUUAACAUUUAGCACGAAUAAGGUUCAAGAAACAUGCCUCCUCAGUCAGCAGGUCUCUUUUAUGGAAGAAGAGAGUUGAUUGGUAUGGGAGGAAUUGGAAAAAAGGAAAUAGAUAUGGACAGGUGUCGGUCGUGUAUUCAUAACCGAACACGGUGUGAUAGUUGUACUUCCUCCAGAUUCAGACCCUGCUAACCAUUUGAACGUAUUAACCGUGUACGGCGAGGGACAUUUUAGAAUGUUGUUGGGUUUGACCGAUGAUGAAGCGAAAAGGCAUUUGCUUCUUGCCUAAUUCUUCAAGCCGCACUCAUCGUUGCAGUAGCAUUGUGGGGCUCAUCGUUGCAGUACCAUUGUGGGGAGCAUAGGCGUUAUAAGAUAGCUGAUUGAUGAGAAUUUGGCUACUAUGGAGCAAAUAGGUGUACGUAAUCAACAAAUUGCAAUACUGUAAGAGGAAAGAGACUGACUCCUAGCAAACACAAUUUCAUUCUUGAGAAUGAAAUAUGACAACUUCAGAAUGAAAGACGGCAACUACGGGAAGAAAAUGCAAACAUUGUGCGUCUCAAGCAAAUUAUGAGGCGGUACAACGCUCCGAUUCCCCGUGACGUGUAGGCAAAUUCUGAGGUCCUUUUUAGCCAUCACAUUUGAGAUUUUCUUAUGAAUGUCAUUUAAAACAUUGUUCUUACUUCAAUGUUUUUAAUAUUAUUAUUUUUUUGUUCCAGUAA